Molecule: ribosomal RNA, 451 nt
Filed under: uncultured bacterium
Lineage: Bacteria
Description: partial 16S ribosomal RNA
Rfam family: Bacterial small subunit ribosomal RNA
Source: RNAcentral
AGCGAACGCUGGCGGCAGGCUUAACACAUGCAAGUCGAGCGGGCGUAGCAAUACGUCAGCGGCAGACGGGUGAGUAACGCGUGGGAACGUACCUUUUGGUUCGGAACAACACAGGGAAACCUGUGCUAAUACCGGAUAAGCCCUUACGGGGAAAGAUUUAUCGCCGAAAGAUCGGCCCGCGUCUGAUUAGCUAGUUGGUAGGGUAAUGGCCUACCAGGGCGACGAUCAGUAGCUGGUCUGAGAGGAUGAUCAGCCACAUUGGGACUGAGACACGGCCCAAACUCCUACGGGAGGCAGCAGUGGGGAAUAUUGGACAAUGGGGGCAACCUUGAUCCAGCCAUGCCGCGUGAGUGAUGAAGGCCCUAGGGUUGUAAAGCUCUUUUGUGCGAGAAGAUAAUGACGGUACCGCAAGAAUAAGCCCCGGCUAACUUCGUGCCAGCCGCCGCGGUAA